This 440-nucleotide ribosomal RNA is filed under the name uncultured bacterium. RNAcentral describes it as "partial 16S ribosomal RNA". It matches the Rfam family "Bacterial small subunit ribosomal RNA", at positions 338 to 795 of the family's 1533-position model. The record is from RNAcentral.
CCUACGGGUGGCAGCAGUAGGGAAUUUUGCGCAAUGGGCGCAAGCCUGACGCAGCAACGCCGCGUGAACGAGACGCCCUUCGGGGUGGAAAGUUCUGUCAGUGAGGACGAAAAAUGACGGUACACACAGAGGAAGCACCGGCUAACUCCGUGCCAGCAGCCGCGGUAAUACGGAGGGGGCAAGCGGUGUCCGGAAUCAUUGGGCGUAAAGAGUGCGUAGGCGGCAUGUAAAGUCAGGUGUUAAAGGCGCAGGCUCAACCUGUGUAAGGCACUUGAUACUUGCGAGCUGGAAUGCGGUAGAGGUAAGGGGAAUUCCUGGUGUAGCGGUGAAAUGCGUAGAUAUCAGGAGGAACAUCAGUGGCGUAGGCGCUUUACUGGACCGUAAUUGACGCUGAGGAACGAAAGCGAGGGGAGCAAAUGGGAUUAGAUACCCUUGUAGAC